RNAcentral lists this ribosomal RNA (253 nucleotides) under uncultured bacterium. RNAcentral describes it as "partial 16S ribosomal RNA". It matches the Rfam family "Bacterial small subunit ribosomal RNA", at positions 524 to 776 of the family's 1533-position model. The record is from RNAcentral.
UACAGAGGGUGCAAGCGUUAAUCGGAAUUACUGGGCGUAAAGAGCACGUAGGUGGUUGUUCAAGUUGGAUGUGAAAGCCCCGGGCUUAACCUGGGAAGGUCAUCCAAGACUGGACGACUAGAGUAUAGUAGAGGGAAGUGGAAUUUCCGGUGUAGCGGUGAAAUGCGUAGAUAUCGGAAGGAACACCAGUGGCGAAGGCGACUUCCUGGACUAAUACUGACACUGAGGUGCGAAAGCGUGGGGAGCAAACAGG